AAUAAUUACUUAACUGAUGAUCUUUUGAGUAGGAAUCUCAUUGAGCUUCAGUCAUGCGUUGCUUUGAAAUUACUUUUGUCUCCCACUGAUUAUAUUUAU
This 99-nucleotide small nucleolar RNA is filed under the name Drosophila ananassae. Its description in RNAcentral is "small nucleolar RNA Me28S-Am2634". It matches the Rfam family "Small nucleolar RNA Me28S-Am2634". Rfam says of the family: Me28S-Am2634 is a member of the C/D class of snoRNA which contain the C (UGAUGA) and D (CUGA) box motifs. This family directs 2'-O-methylation of 28S A-2634. Lineage: Eukaryota; Metazoa; Arthropoda; Insecta; Diptera; Drosophilidae. The record is from Rfam by way of RNAcentral.